CCCUGAUCCAAUCUAUUUACCUAUGUGCUGCUAUAUCCAACACACAUACAGACUACCAAUGUGCAAUCCUCUCUCCUUGAGAUUUUCAACUUGGAGUUCUUGGAGUUACUUAUGAACUCUAGCUCAUAAUUGGUUUUGCCCUGCCUCAAUUUCAAAGCUGCUAUUGGGUUGGAAAAGACUGUUGUUGGAAAGGACUGUUGUCCAGGCUCCAAAAAGUCCAGACAAGGUCUCCAGAGACUCUCUAUUUUUCCUCCAGAUCCUUUUACUGACAUUAAUGAUGAAGCAGCUUUGUCUGUGUCUCUGCCUUGGUUAGCAAUGCCUUAGUGACAGGGCAGCUCCAGAUGCAUUAGAUCAGCAGCUGAUGCCAUCAUGCGAAUGUCUAACACUUACUUUAGCAGUAGAAGACUUUCUUCAUUUAAAAUCUUACAGGAAAUCCCUGUGUUCAAAAGGAAAAAAAAAAUCAGUAGGGGAUCUGGAGCCCAGCCAGCACUGUCCUCUUUCUCCCAAGAGGGGAAAACUGAUCCAAACCGAGGUCCGAACUGGAUGGACUCCUCGAGAAUCAGAACUUCAAUACCAGUGACGUAAUUGGAACCCAGGUCCCUGGCCCCCCAGUUCUGGGCUCUUUCUACUAUUCGACGCUGCCUCCUGCAAAACGUGUCCUAUUUUGAGGCACCCUUGUUUAUCACAGAUUUGUUGUACUCCCCUUUUUUUGCAGUCUUUGAAAUUUCUUUUCUCGUGUUCUCUCACUUAUUUCCCAAAAGCCAUUUGUUAUGUAACAGAUGAAUAUGUGUUCCUGUUUAUAAAUAUUCUACAGUAAGUCAAGAAAAUGUGGGGAAAUAGGGGGAAAAGGCUAAUAGGACCUUCAAACCCUCUAUCUGGAAAUGUCGGGAAUCUAGACUGUGUCUAAGGGGCAAAGGUCACAAAAGAAGAACAAAGCCAGGAAGCUGAACCUGGUCUUGUAUGUUUGGAUCCCAUCUCAUUCGUUUUUCCCUUCAUUUUCAGUCUGUCCAAAAUUAGGAUGUUUGGUGUUAUGGAGGUUCACCUGGGAAAAAUCAGGAGGCCGCCGAGUGUAACUGUGGGAUGGCAUCACAGUAAGCAAGAAGCUUAAAAUCUAAUCCAUUACCAGGGAAUUGAAUCCAGGGAACAUGGCUUCAUUAAAGACUACGACUUUAUAAAUAACUACACAUAAAUAGACCGCUUUGCCUUAGAGAAUAAUAUAUUUCAAAAUUAUUAUCUACUUAAAAUAUUUUACCUAAAAGAAUUCACAAUUAGCUUUCAAUAUUUAAACAGUACAUUAGAAAUGGAAUGAUUAUAAAUAUCAGAAACAAAAGCCACUUCAUUACAGUAUGAACAUAUGCUAACAUACCACAUACUGCUUUUGAAUUUAAUAAUAAUAUAGUUUAUCUUUUUUUAACUGACAUAAGGGUUUUGAUAAUAGCUAAUAUAAAUAUAUGAAAUGUCAAAUUUAGAAGAUAGUGCUUAAACAUUUGUCUCUUAGAGAGUAUUGUUAAACUUAACUUUUAUUAACUCUGAGAAUCAAAGAGAAAUAUGGUGAUGCUAGUGAACGUUUGAAAAUCUUUUAUUUUAUCACUUUUAAUGCAUGUUUAAUAUUUAACAUUCAUCUUAUUACAGUCAGGAAUUGUGAAAUGCUUGUGCUGUUUCUAAACAGUUUUAAAGUUCAAUGCACAGUCACAAUUCAGAGGGGAGAUUUCACACAUUUAUGGAAAAUAAGCCAUUUUUGCAGUAAAGUUGCAAAGUGUGAAAGAAUUCUUGUUUUAUCUGCCUUACUUAUCAUGUUUAUGAAUUAUUUUGCCUGGAAGUAAAUUGACAAGUUGUCAAUGAACAAUAGAAAGUGCCCCAGCUAGGCUUUUCACAGGUUCAGAUGCCUUUGGGCAAAAGGGCUAAAUCUGUAGUUGCAAUCUAGCAUAUGGAGCACUGAAAAAAGUGGCAACAGGGUGAGAGACAUUCCCUGCAAAAUGCAUGCGGUUGUUGCUCUCUAACCAAUCUGCUUGGACCACUGUACAUUAUGAAUUCAGGUACCAUCGUCUUGCCAUACAGGAAUAGGAUUCCUUGCCUCCAUAUAAUAAUUUGUUUCUGUUUUAUCCUAGUUUACUUUGGUCUACUUUGUCAUUUUGAACUAUUUUAAUUCUCCAAAUGAUUAUUAUUAAAUAUUCAUCUUUAGUAAUAAAAAGCCAUUUCCCUAUUCUAGGUGACUGUCUAUUGGAAACUUCCCACAGAAUCCCAUAGGAAGGAAAACAAUCUCAGAGACCCUUUUUUCAGUGGGUAAGGGUAGACCUUGACUUCCGCCUUUAACCACCACAUUUUAGGAUUACCUGGCUAUAACAUUUCAUGUCCUUUUCUCCCAUCUCAUGUUUUUCACAAUGCUAUUUUGAGACUAUUUUAUGAUAACUCAUACAGCUGAAUAAAUUACUAAACAGCUAAGUGGGCUUUCAGUAGAUGGCACUCUUUGUUCUGAAUCAGCCCAAUAUUGUUUUGCCACUUCACUGAAAGGCCAGCUGUUCUUUGAAGCUCCUGCCUUCCAGAUAUGCCACUCUCUAAGACACAGGGAUGUGGUUUAGGGUAAAAGUUAUGGCUGGGAUUUCUAACCCAAGAAACAAGAAGGACACAAAAGACAGCCUCAUGAAUAAGAGUUCAUUAGGAAAAAAAAAAAAGCUGAAGUUUGAAUAUGAGAAAAGCCAAGUCCGGUGUCAGUUAUGGAUGUGGUUAGACUCAUAGAGCCAAGAGUUUUAAUGUAGACUUGAAAUAAGCUCAGAGAAAGUGCAUGUUAGAAAGAAGUGACGUGGAAGGUGACUGGGAUUUUAUAGGAAAAUCUAAAAGUGAUGAUUACUGACCUUGAUGGGCCAGCCAGCUCAUGGUGUAUGGGAGGGUCAGGCCAGACAAAGCAGGAGUAUAUUUCUGCUCUCUAGUGGUUUCUUGUUUAUCACACACCCCUUUUCUAUCUGUCUCCACAGUCAUUGAUGAUUCUUGCCCCUGGUUUGCACUCUUUUCCUAAUCUCCAGGCAUCAUCUUGUGUCACUUCCACACUAAGUAGAUGAUCUCUUUAGUACUUGUAAGUCUCCUCCAUUGGGAGCUUCUCUAGCCUUUCAUCUUCAUUUCAUUGUAACAAUGUCGUGGCCACAUCCUGGACCUUGUCUCCACUUACAAAAUAAUUCACUCAGAGAGUGGGAUCUCCUGCUCUAUUCACAGUGUUAUAAUGUAUGGAUAGUGUUAUAAUGGGUUCCUGCUACUGUGUUGCCUCAAAACCUACUCUUCACGUUUAAUAUAUUCCCCAACACGUCAACCCCCGCCUACUUAGGUUCCAACUCCAACUACCUGCAUUAAUCUCACUGUUAACGUAAUAAUUUUAAUGACAAUAUUACCAAAACCUCCAAUUCACUCACUCCCAUAAGGCAAUGUACAGUGGAAAAGAACAUUCCUGGAAUCAGAGAGUACUACAGGCUUUUGCCACUUUUGAAAACCUGCUAUUUCAAACUUUGUUCAUCUGUAAAUUAGACUCAAUGUCUAACAAAUACCUUUUUUAUUGAGAAAUUGCUGCUGCUUUAAUGAAAUAACACAGAUAAUAUCUCUUCAGACCAGUUUCUUCUCCAUCGUCUUCCCUUACUCUUCUGCUGUAACCAUCCUGAAAAUUCCACAUCAGGAAUGAGCCCUUCUAUUCAUUUUUAUCUACUCCUGUUCCUAGGCUUCUGAAGGCACCCAGGAAAAUCUCUUAACUGUGCUAAUAAUUUUUGCAAAUUUAGGAAUUUCUACUAAUUCUUUUUUUUGUGUUCAUGAAGUAAUUUACUUAUUUAUUUAUUAUACUUUAAGUUCUAGGGUACAUGUGCACAGCCUGCAGGUUUGUUACAUAUGUAUACAUGUGCCAUGUUGGUGUGCUGCACCCAUUAACUCGUCAUUUACAUUAGGUGUAUCUCCUAAUGCUAUCCCUCCCCUCUCCCCCACCCCACGAAAGGCACCAGUAUGUGAUGUUACCCUUCCUGUGUCCAAGUGUGCUCAUUGUUCAAUUCCCA
Molecule: long non-coding RNA, 4025 nt
Filed under: Homo sapiens (human)
Lineage: Eukaryota; Metazoa; Chordata; Mammalia; Primates; Hominidae
Description: HSALNT0091528
Source: RNAcentral